CGGACGGGUGAGUAACGCGUGGAUAACCUGCCUCACACAGGGGGAUAACAGUUAGAAAUGACUGCUAAUACCGCAUAAGCGCACAGUACCGCAUGGUACAGUGUGAAAAACUCCGGUGGUGUGAGAUGGAUCCGCGUCUGAUUAGGUAGUUGGUGGGGUAACGGCCCACCAAGCCGACGAUCAGUAGCCGACCUGAGAGGGUGACCGGCCACAUUGGGACUGAGACACGGCCCAA
Molecule: ribosomal RNA, 235 nt
Filed under: uncultured bacterium
Lineage: Bacteria
Description: partial 16S ribosomal RNA
Rfam family: Bacterial small subunit ribosomal RNA
Source: RNAcentral